AACGAACGCUGGCGGCAUGCCUAACACAUGCAAGUCGAACGAGACCUUCGGGUCUAGUGGCGCACGGGUGCGUAACGCGUGGGAACCUGCCCUUAGGUUCGGAAUAACCCCCCGAAAGGGGUGCUAAUACCGGAUAAUGUCUUCGGACCAAAGAUUUAUCGCCUUUGGAUGGGCCCGCGUUGGAUUAGCUAGUUGGUAGGGUAAAAGCCUACCAAGGCGACGAUCCAUAGCUGGUCUGAGAGGAUGAUCAGCCACACUGGGACUGAGACACGGCCCAGACUCCUACGGGAGGCAGCAGUGGGGAAUAUUGGACAAUGGGCGAAAGCCUGAUUCAGCAAUGCCGCGUGAGUGAUGAAGGCCUUAGGGUUGUAAAGCUCUUUUACCCGGGAUGAUAAUGACAGUACCGGGAGAAUAAGCUCCGGCUAACUCCGUG
Molecule: ribosomal RNA, 433 nt
Filed under: uncultured bacterium
Lineage: Bacteria
Description: partial 16S ribosomal RNA
Rfam family: Bacterial small subunit ribosomal RNA
Source: RNAcentral